This 759-nucleotide long non-coding RNA is filed under the name Callithrix jacchus (white-tufted-ear marmoset). RNAcentral's name for it is "lncRNA (ENSCJAG00000079754.1)". Lineage: Eukaryota; Metazoa; Chordata; Mammalia; Primates; Cebidae. The record is from RNAcentral.
CCAGAAGGACCCGUAAGUCCAAUCAACAAGCCUUAUUAAACACCUUGCCUGUGCAAAUUUAGGUCUGGUGACCAUUUACUGUGUUUGCAAUGUUAUUAUUAAUGUUAAAAAAGAAAGGCCAGUGCAAUCCUCGUUGCCCCGGCAAUUUAUAUUUUUCUUCUCUUUGCAGUAUUUUCCAUCUGCCUCCAUUCUCUCUGACCCAAGACAAGUAAAAAUAAGAGCCACCAUUUAAUGAACAUGUAUAUUAUGGUUUGGCUGUGUCUCUACCCAAAUGUUUUCUUGAAUUGUAAUCCCCAUCAUUCCCUCAUGUCUAGGUAGAGACCUGGUGGGAAGUGAUUGCGUCAUGGGUUGGUUUCCUCCAUGCUGUUCUAGGGAUAGCAAAUGACUUCUCAUGAGAUCUGAUGGUCUUACGAGGGACGCUUCCCACUUCACUCACUCUUCUCUCUCCUGCUGCCACAUGAAGAAGGACCUUCCUUCCCCGUCCCCUUCCACCAUGAUUAUAUGCAUUUUUGAGACAAGAGGCUGUAGCUGGCCUUGGAAGAAGAAAAAUGAGAACAGGUUCUGGAAAGGGGAAAAGGACCAAACAAUCCUUCCAUCACAGGAGGGAGAGAUAGCACUGAACAGGAAACAGGUGAGUAAACAAGAAUAUCACCAUCCCUGGGUUGAGAUAGGGGAGCAAAGAUACAAAUAGCAUGGCUUUGAACCAAAAGGGUUGGAGGGGGUACUUCAUGGUAUGCAUCAGAGGAUGGAGACUCAGAG